UAUUCAUCCCAUGCGGGAAGGAUGAGAAGCUUCGACUAAGGUUCGAUUCGAGCGAAGCGAGAAAGCGUUGCCGCAGGCAACGACCCGAAGGGCGAGGCGCAACGCGCCGAGUAAUCCUUCCCCCAC
This 126-nucleotide small RNA is filed under the name Klebsiella michiganensis. RNAcentral's name for it is "partial RtT sRNA". It matches the Rfam family "RtT RNA". From Rfam's summary of the family: This family represents a bacterial cis-regulatory element known as RtT RNA. The exact function of RtT is unknown although it is thought that it may be involved in changing the cellular response in relation to amino acid starvation. The record is from RNAcentral. Lineage: Bacteria; Pseudomonadati; Pseudomonadota; Gammaproteobacteria; Enterobacterales; Enterobacteriaceae.